UACGUAGGGUGCGAGCGUUAAUCGGAAUUACUGGGCGUAAAGCGUGCGCAGGCGGUUAUGUAAGACAGUUGUGAAAUCCCCGGGCUUAACCUGGGAAUUGCAUCUGUGACUGCAUAGCUAGAGUACGGUAGAGGGGGAUGGAAUUCCGCGUGUAGCAGUGAAAUGCGUAGAUAUGCGGAGGAACACCGAUGGCGAAGGCAAUCCCCUGGACCUGUACUGACGCUCAUGCACGAAAGCGUGGGGAGCAAACAGG
RNAcentral lists this ribosomal RNA (253 nucleotides) under uncultured bacterium. RNAcentral's name for it is "partial 16S ribosomal RNA". It matches the Rfam family "Bacterial small subunit ribosomal RNA", at positions 524 to 776 of the family's 1533-position model. The record is from RNAcentral.